AACGAACGCUGGCGGCAUGCCUAACACAUGCAAGUCGAACGAGACCUUCGGGUCUAGUGGCGCACGGGUGCGUAACGCGUGGGAACCUGCCCUUAGGUUCGGAAUAACUCCCCGAAAGGGGUGCUAAUACCGGAUAAUGUCUUCCGACCAAAGAUUUAUCGCCUUUGGAUGGACCCGCGUUGGAUUAGCUAGUUGGUAGGGUAAAAGCCUACCAAGGCGACGAUCCAUAGCUGGUCUGAGAGGAUGAUCAGCCACACUGGGACUGAGACACGGCCCAGACUCCUACGGGAGGCAGCAGUGGGGAAUAUUGGACAAUGGGCGAAAGCCUGAUCCAGCAAUGCCGCGUGAGUGAUGAAGGCCUUAGGGUUGUAAAGCUCUUUUACCCGGGAUGAUAAUGACAGUACCGUGAGAAUAAGCUCCGGCUAACUCCGUG
RNAcentral lists this ribosomal RNA (433 nucleotides) under uncultured bacterium. Its description in RNAcentral is "partial 16S ribosomal RNA". It matches the Rfam family "Bacterial small subunit ribosomal RNA", at positions 29 to 507 of the family's 1533-position model. The record is from RNAcentral.